GCAUCCGUAGCUCAGCUGGAUAGAGGACUCGGCUACGAACCGAGCGGGCGGAGGUUCGAAUCCUCCGGGAUGCACCA
RNAcentral lists this transfer RNA (77 nucleotides) under Escherichia coli. Its description in RNAcentral is "tRNA-Arg". It matches the Rfam family "tRNA". Rfam says of the family: Transfer RNA (tRNA) molecules are approximately 80 nucleotides in length. The record is from RNAcentral. Lineage: Bacteria; Pseudomonadati; Pseudomonadota; Gammaproteobacteria; Enterobacterales; Enterobacteriaceae.